UCAGUGCGAUUUAAAAACAGGAAGUGGAUUGUCAAUAGGAAGCUAAAAGAUGAAGAAGCGGUGGAGAUUAGAAGACCAUAUUCCACAGCAGUCAAGAGAGUGGACAGAAGAAAAUUGAGCCGGUGGGACGACGAGGAUCCCAAAGUGAAGAAAAAGAGUUGAUUUGUUGGAAAUCACUUUUUGUAUUUUUAAGAACAAUUUUCAUUUUCCGUUAUUUUCAUUUUUACUUUCGUUUGAACAUGUAAUUUUUGAAUUUUUGAAACAAUUUUUGGGUAGCAUCUACUGAGGGAUGCUAAAAAUUUUUAAAUCCACUGAAGGAUUCCAGGAAGGCUCAUUGUUUCCCCCAACAACAAUAGGGUUUAGUUCACCAUUGUCAUGGUGAAUCUAGAUGAAAA
RNAcentral lists this long non-coding RNA (395 nucleotides) under Vigna radiata. RNAcentral's name for it is "long non-coding RNA (VRAD_LNC014260)". Lineage: Eukaryota; Viridiplantae; Streptophyta; Magnoliopsida; Fabales; Fabaceae. The record is from RNAcentral.